Molecule: ribosomal RNA, 491 nt
Filed under: uncultured bacterium
Lineage: Bacteria
Description: partial 16S ribosomal RNA
Rfam family: Bacterial small subunit ribosomal RNA
Source: RNAcentral
AUGAACGCUAGCUACAGGCUUAACCCAUGCCAGUCGAGGGGCAGCGGUAUCGAAAGCUUGCUUUCGGUAGCCGGCGACCGGCGCACGGGUGAGUAACGCGUAUCGAACCUGCCUCAUACUCGGGAAUAGCCUUGCGAAAGUAAGAUUAAUGCCCGGUGUUUUCAGAGUCCCGCAUGAGGCUUUGAACAAAGAUUUAUCGGUAUGAGAUGGCGAUGCGUCCCAUUAGCUUGUUGGCGGGGUAACGGCCCACCAAGGCAUCGAUGGGUAGGGGUUCUGAGAGGAAGGUCCCCCGCAUUGGAACUGAGGCACGGUCCAAACGCCUACGGGAGGCAGCAGUGAGGAAUAUUGGGCAAUGGGCGGAAGCCUGAACCAGCCAAGUAGCGUGCAAGAAGACGGCCCUCCGGGUGGUAAACUGCUUUUAGUUGGGAAUAAAACGGGGCUCGUGAGCCCCCUUGCAUGUACCAUCAGAAAAAGGACCGGCUAAUUCCGUG